UACGAAGGGAACUAGCGUUGUUCGGAUUUACUGGGCGUAAAGAGCAUGUAGGCGGAUUGGUCAGUUGGGGGUGAAAGCCCGGAGCUCAACUCCGGAACGGCCUUCAAUACUGCCAGUCUAGAGUCUGUAAGGGGGUGGUGGAAUUCCGAGUGUAGAGGUGAAAUUCGUAGAUAUUCGGAGGAACACCAGUGGCGAAGGCGACCACCUGGUACAGUACUGACGCUGAGAUGCGAAAGCGUGGGGAGCAAAC
This 250-nucleotide ribosomal RNA is filed under the name uncultured bacterium. RNAcentral's name for it is "partial 16S ribosomal RNA". It matches the Rfam family "Bacterial small subunit ribosomal RNA", at positions 524 to 773 of the family's 1533-position model. The record is from RNAcentral.